Molecule: RNA transcript, 5439 nt
Organism: Nomascus leucogenys (northern white-cheeked gibbon)
Lineage: Eukaryota; Metazoa; Chordata; Mammalia; Primates; Hylobatidae
Gene: ZDHHC20
Gene name: zinc finger DHHC-type containing 20
Exons: 14
Source: RefSeq, a predicted model, not a curated record
UGGGGGCGGGACCUGGCCGGGCGCCGGGACGGGAGGAGUCCCGGCGGCGCCUCGGACUUUUGCUCCCACAAGCCCUGCCUCGGAGGCGGGGGAGCUGGACCAGCAGCCGCCUGGAACGUCCGAGUCGCCGUUGCCGGGGCUCCCGCGCUCCCCAGAACGGUGGGACGCGGGGCUCGGCAGCCGCCAGCGGAACAUGGCGCCCUGGACGCUGUGGCGCUGCUGCCAGCGCGUCGUGGGUUGGGUGCCGGUGCUCUUCAUCACCUUCGUGGUCGUCUGGUCCUACUACGCGUACGUGGUGGAGCUCUGCGUGUUUACUAUUUUUGGAAAUGAAGAAAAUGGAAAGACCGUUGUUUACCUUGUGGCUUUCCAUCUGUUCUUUGUUAUGUUUGUAUGGUCCUAUUGGAUGACAAUUUUCACAUCUCCCGCUUCCCCCUCCAAAGAGUUCUACUUGUCCAAUUCUGAAAAGGAACGUUAUGAGAAAGAAUUCAGCCAAGAAAGACAACAAGAAAUUUUGAGAAGAGCAGCAAGAGCUUUACCUAUCUAUACCACAUCAGCUUCAAAAACUAUCAGAUAUUGUGAAAAAUGUCAGCUGAUUAAACCUGAUCGGGCGCAUCACUGCUCAGCAUGUGACUCAUGUAUUCUUAAGAUGGAUCAUCACUGUCCUUGGGUGAAUAACUGUGUGGGAUUUUCUAAUUACAAAUUCUUCCUGCUGUUUUUAUUAUAUUCCCUAUUAUAUUGCCUUUUCGUGGCUGCAACAGUUUUAGAGUACUUUAUAAAAUUUUGGACGCUUUGCCGCAGGAAAUCUACAGAGAGUUGUCCAAAGAAUGAACUGACAGAUACACGUGCAAAAUUCCACGUACUUUUUCUUUUCUUUGUGUCUGCAAUGUUCUUCAUCAGCGUCCUCUCACUUUUCAGCUACCACUGCUGGCUAGUUGGAAAAAAUAGAACAACAAUAGAAUCAUUCCGUGCACCCACGUUUUCAUAUGGACCUGAUGGAAAUGGUUUCUCUCUUGGAUGCAGUAAAAAUUGGAGACAAGUCUUUGGUGAUGAAAAGAAAUAUUGGCUACUUCCAAUAUUUUCAAGCUUGGGUGACGGUUGCAGUUUUCCAACUCGCCUUGUGGGGAUGGAUCCAGAACAAGCUUCUGUUACAAACCGGAAUGAGUAUGCCAGAAGAUCUAAACUGCAGAGGUAGAAAGCAGAAAACUUGGGAAAUGACAGUAGUGGCUCAAAUCAGCCUUUUCCUAUCAAACCACUUAGUGAAUCAAAAAACCGCUUGUUGGACAGUGAAUCUCAGUGGCUGGAGAAUGGAGCUGAAGAAGGCAUCGUCAAAUCAGGUGUAUGAAAACAUUAUAGACUGAUAUUUUCAAUUUUCAUUUGCAAGAAAAUGAUCAAUGGAAUGAAAUAAUUGAAGUAUAACAGAAGAUAUAUUUUUUAAAACAGAAAGCCUUUGUACAGUUCCUGGGAUUCACAGAAGCAUUACUCCAGAGCAGAACGAUGCCUUAAUCUUAAGUGUCCAUUUGUGCAGCAUUGACUUAGAGCUACAAAAGUGACUUAAUGUUAUUCUGGAAAUAAUACUUACCUGUUAUGAGAUGCUAUAAUAUGAGCUGUCAUCACAUUUUAACAUGCAUAUGUAUUUUUUGAUACCUGAAUUACAUUAUUAGAUUAAGUAUCCAUAUACAUUUUCACUCCAAAAACACAAGCUUAAAAACUUGAAAGUAAAGUACAUCUAGGGCAAAUGGUGGCUGAAAGUGAAUAAUAUUCAAAUUACUGUUGCUUGUACUGUAUAAGGAAAACUGCUUUUUUAAAUUGGGUAUUUGCUAACUUAUAAUUACUAUUUUAUACUUUUAAACAUUUUUAAUAACUUUUUUUAUUGUUGGCUAUAACAGAAGGAUUCAGAUAUCUAAAUAUCAUUUAGAACAUAGAACACAUUGGUCUAAUUCAUCGAAAGCUUAGUUAUAAGCAUUAAUACAACCAUGUAGUAGAGCAAGUGCCCAAGGCUUAAAGGGAACUUGGCAGUAUAAGAAACAUUUUGGGUUCUCUCUGCUAUUUUACAACUUUUUUUGUUGAACUUUCAGGGGUAUGUACAUGGGCAGACAAACACAAAGGUACAUGUGCUGGAGAAAUACUGGACACAGUAGGAAGAAGUAUAGGUGUCCAGAAGAAAAGCUAAGAGGAAUAUUGUAAUUUGUUAAAAAAAAAAAAAAAAAAGUUUUGAGUUUUAACAGCAGUUAGAAUAAAGCAUGCUGUUGACUUGACUUUCAAAUUUCAGUGUAGGUAAUGACUAAAAAUUACUUUGAAACUUUUUACAGUAAUACUGUAACAGCUUAAACAGUGAUUUAAAAUGCAAUUCAAACUAGGCAAAAAAAACUUUAGAAUAAGUUUUCCUCCUGGCUGUCAGUUGGAAAUUCUAACCUGAGUGGUCAUUUUACAUUCCCAGUCUCUGAGAAGUGGAUUCUACUCUUAGAUGCACAAUCUUAAGUCUGACUUCCUGACAGCAACCCCUUUAUGACUAGACACAUUUCUCCUUUUUCCUUUUAAAAUCUAAGCGACAGCAGUUGUUGCAUUAACUCCAAAGAAAAGUACAGAAUAAACAAUGUAGAAAUGUUACUCCUCAUUUACACCUUUUAGUCAGGCACACACACACACACACCCCCCAAAAUAAUUGAUUACUUCCAGUGAGUGGGUGGAGAUGAAUCUCAGCAGCAUCUGUGAGUACCACAGGUUGGAGUUUCCUGUCUGUAAAAUGGGACUGCAGGGGAGGGGGUGUUGUGAAUGAGUUGGACUGGAUGACUUCUAACAUUCUGCGAUGCCUAAUUUUGCAAAAUCACUUUUCAUUCACCCAAUAAUUUUUUUUCUUCUUUUUUCCACAGAGUCUUGCUCUGUCUCCCAGGCAGGAGUGCAGUGGUGGGAUCUUGGCUCGCUGCAACCUCUGCCUCCCCGGUUCAAUAGAGUCUCCUGCCUCAGCCUUCCAAGUAGCUGGGAUUACAGGCUCAUGCCACCAUGCCCGGCUAAUUUUUACAUUUUUAGAAGAGACGAGGUUUCACCAUGUUGACCAGGCUGAUCACGAACUCCUGACCUCAAAUAAUCCACUCACCUCAGCUUCCCAAAGUGCUGGGAUUACAGGCAUGAGCCACCAUGCCCUGCCCCAAUAAAUUCUUUGGAGUACCUUCUGUAUGCUAAAUAAUACACUAGGAAUAGCUCUAUCAUUUCCUAGUACAGCAUAAAUUUUAUGGUUGCUACUGUAGGUUUAUAAUUUGUUGUUUAUAAUUUGGUCUAAUUUCCAUCAGCCAUACUAAUAAUAGAUUUAAAAGGAGGCAACUUUUUUUCUUUUUGAACCAAAGGAAUGAGUUAGCUUUGAAAACAUAAUUUGGGAUAUUACAGUAUGGAUUCUUCUACCUUUGUUUCAACUCCUUAAUAAUCUUGAUUAUAGCAAACUAGAAUGAGAGUUAAGAGAUACCAAUUAUUGCCGGGCGUGUUGGCUCAUGCCUGUAAUCCCAGCACUUUGGGAGGCCGAGGCUGGCGGAUCACCUGGCGGAUCACCUGAGGUCAGGGGUUCGAGAUUAGCCUGGUCAAAAUGGCAAAACCCUGUCUCCACUAAAAAUACAAAAAAAACAAAACAAAACUGUCCAGGCAUGGUGGCACACGCCUGUAGUCCCAGCUGCUCGGGAGGUGGAGGCAGGAGAAUCACUUGAACCCAGGAGGUGGAGGUUGCGGUGAGCCAAGAUCGUGCCACACCUGGGUGACAAUAGUGAAACUCCAUCUCAAAAAAAAAAUAUAUAUAUAUAUAUAUCAAUUACCAACUAAAAACAUAACUUCAGUUUGGCAGUUUGCAUAUUAUAAAGAGAUAAAUGUUAAAACAUACUUGACUACUUUCAGAAAUGUUCUCCUGGUACUUUUUGUAUUUCUACAUUCAGAUAAAAAGAUUUGCAUGCACCUGGCCAACACCAAGGAAACUUUAUUUUUUUCUUCACUAUUAUGCACUUUCAUGGUGUAGUCUUUCUCAAUUCUUUUAAUUUUUGUUAUUUAGCAUCUUUAAAUAGCACAGCAAACAUCUUUUCAGAAAUUUUCAGUUAAAGCCUUUGAAUUACUUAUCUUUGAUUUAAUUUACAGCCAGCAUUUUGCCACAUUCUAAAUAAUAUUUAGCUGAACUGAUUGAUAUGUAUUAAUGACCAUUCUAGCAAAGGCCAACAAGUGGUGUGGGAAUCAGGGAAAGGCUGCCUCUUUGGUAUCUCAACUGGUAUUGAUUAUUGCUAUCAACUAUUUGGGGAGAAAAAAUCAAAAUGAAGCCCUGUCAAAUUUUAGAAGUACUAUCUUUGGUCCUUCAAACACUUGACUUUUGUGAUGACACCUUAAGAAAAAUAAGGUUGAAGUUCAGGUCUUGCCAUUGCCAUUAAAAACAAAUUAGGAGACUUGGUUUACCUGGGAACAAAUUUACUUGAAUAUUCAGUACCUGAAACUAUGCCAAACCAAAGAGCAGCUGCAGUACACUAGUUAGUGUAAAUGAACAAGUUUACAAAGUUUAUUUUCAUCUAUACCUAAGGAUGAUUUUUUAAAAACUUUUUACAUAUUAGUGGUUAUGAUCCAAUGUGUCAUGAGUGAAUUUAACUGUAAGGUGGUUUAAAUCAAAUAUGCAAUGUUUACUUGAAUUGUAUUUCUAUUAGCAGAUUUUGACUAUGUUUACAGGACUGUUUAAGGAUUAUCAGGCAUGUGAGAUCUCCUUUUAGUUAUCUUUAAAGUAGAUGUAUAUUAAGGGCUUAGAUUUAGGAUCUACAUAUUCUGGGCAUUGAAUAGGCAGUAACUUACAAAUAAGUUUUGCUUACCUUUUGUUCUAGGGACUAGCACUGCUAUCAAUGGAAAGUAUUUUUAACCUGUUAUUAAGAAAGUCAUAUUUUUGCAUUUCAGCCAAAAUAAAGACCGUAUUUAAUAAUCUGUUAGAAACAGAUAAUACAUGUCUGAAAUCCAUAUGUUUCAUAUAAUCUAAACUGUAUUUUCCAAUUUAAAUUAAAAAUGUAAUAUAGAUUCAGAAAGGUUCAUAUUUUUCUAAUGACUUCUAUAUUAUUUUGUUAGGUUGCAUAAAGAAGCAAGGAAUUGUAUUAAAACAUGAAGAAAGCUAUUAGGUAUAUUUGUACAUGACUGCAAAUGAGUCUAUGCCCGUUUAAAAGAAAAGAUGGACACUAUUUUAAAGUGAGCUUUAAUAUGCUUUUAUAUAAACAAAUUUGAAGUACAGUUUAAUUUGGUUGUGUUUACCUAACAGUACCAUAAGCCUUGUAUUUGUUCUUAUUUGUAUAAUCCUAGCCUGUGACUUAAUGUUGACGCUUUGCUUUGUCUUUUGGCUGGCCUAACCUACAUUGACAUGUACACAGAACAUUUUAAAACUUUUUUUUUCAAAAGUCAUAAUGAAUUACUUUAUUAAUAAACAAAUAAAGUCUUGUAUUUGAA